Molecule: long non-coding RNA, 339 nt
Filed under: Bos taurus (domestic cattle)
Lineage: Eukaryota; Metazoa; Chordata; Mammalia; Artiodactyla; Bovidae
Description: long non-coding RNA NONBTAT015189
Source: RNAcentral
UUUCCUCUAUUUAUUAUUCUACAGCAUGAAAGUAUCAAAGUACAAAAUAAAACAUCUCAGAAGAUAAAUAUUAUUUCUGAUGGAUAUCAACAUUUCUUUUGCAAAAAGACCUUUUAAGUUAUAAGUUUUUUAAGUGUAUAGCACACUACACACUGGAGGACUUAAAGACCUGCAUUCCUAUUCCCAACGCAGGCAUCAAAACUGCCAACAACCAGACAUUUACCAAAAUUAACUUCUUAUGAAAAGGCAAAAUAUCAAUAUCAAUUGAGAGUCAAACUUCAUCCUCUUGGGAGCAGUUUCUAAGAGAAGGGUUUUUCAAUUUAUACAGCUCCAUUCUUC